GCUGGGGUUGUGGCUCAGUGGUAGAGCACUUGCCUAGCAUGUGUGAGGCCCUGGGUUUGAGUCUCAGCACGGCA
This 74-nucleotide transfer RNA is filed under the name Marmota monax (woodchuck). RNAcentral describes it as "tRNA.Ala". The stretch from base 9 to 69 matches the Rfam family "tRNA", at positions 6 to 65 of the family's 71-position model. Rfam says of the family: Transfer RNA (tRNA) molecules are approximately 80 nucleotides in length. Lineage: Eukaryota; Metazoa; Chordata; Mammalia; Rodentia; Sciuridae. The record is from RNAcentral.